UGUGACUCAACCACCAGAGUAAACAAUACGGAAAGUAGCCAUGGCAACAUUGUGGUAAACGGGGCUGCACAGCUCAGGCCUCUACGGAAGAGUCAGAGAUUUGGGGAUGCUUGCCGGCUCCGCCCCUUUGUUGAGAAACCGGCUGGAGAACAAAAAUGGAAGCUAGGCAAUAAAAGGCUACAGAUGUUUCGUGGAGUCAGCUCCACCAUGACAUUAAGCUCACUUUAA
Long non-coding RNA from Notolabrus celidotus (New Zealand spotty), 228 nucleotides. RefSeq lists it as uncharacterized. The transcript is spliced from 3 exons. The record is from RefSeq and is a predicted model, not a curated record. NCBI's taxonomy places the organism in Eukaryota, Metazoa, Chordata, Actinopteri, Labriformes, Labridae.